Molecule: ribosomal RNA, 254 nt
Filed under: uncultured bacterium
Lineage: Bacteria
Description: partial 16S ribosomal RNA
Rfam family: Bacterial small subunit ribosomal RNA
Source: RNAcentral
UACGAAGGGGGGCUAGCGUUGUUCGGAAUUACUGGGCGUAAAGCGCACGUAGGCGGACUUUUAAGUCAGGGGUGAAAUCCCGGGGCUCAACCUCGGAACUGCCUUUGAUACUGGAAGUCUUGAGUAUGGAAGAGGUAAGUGGAAUUGCGAGUGUAGAGGUGAAAUUCGUAGAUAUUCGCAGGAACACCAGUGGCGAAGGCGGCUUACUGGUCCAUUACUGACGCUGAGGUGCGAAAGCGUGGGGAGCAAACAGG